Molecule: ribosomal RNA, 1370 nt
Filed under: Leiodidae sp. BMNH 1274772
Lineage: Eukaryota; Metazoa; Arthropoda; Insecta; Coleoptera; Leiodidae
Description: 16S ribosomal RNA
Source: RNAcentral
CAUUAAAAAGAUAGUUGUUUAAAUCAAUUUAAUUUGAAUAUAAAGAAUUAUUUAAUUUUAUAAAAAAAAUUUUUUUUAAAAAAAGUAAAAAAUUUGAAAUUAUUAUUAUUAUUAUAAAUUAUUAGUAAAGUAAUUGAAAUUUUAAAUAUAUAAAUAAGAAUAAUUAAUUUUUUGUACCUUGUGUAUCAGGGUUUAUUAAAAUAAUAUAAUGUAUUUUAUCUUUUCGAUAAUAAAAGAGUUAUUUAAUUAGAAAUUUUAAUGUAAAAUAAUUAUUUAAAAUAUUUAAAUUGAAGUGAAAUGUUAUUCGGUUUUAUAAAUAUCUAGUUUUUUUAGAAAAAAAUUUAAUUUUUUUUUUAUUAUUAAUAUUUUUUAAUAUUUAAGAAUAUUAUAAUAAAUUUUAAAAAUUUUAGGGAUAAGCUUAAAAUUUAAUUUUUAUAAAUUUAUUAAUAAAAAAUUAUAAUUUUAGGAUUAGUAAUUUUCAUAAAAAAUAGUUUGUUAAAAUUAAUAUUAUACUAAAAAAAAUUUUUAUAAGUUUUAAUUUAUUUAUAAAAAUAAUUUAAUUAAUAAUGUAUUAAAUAUAAUAAUGAUAAAAUUAGUAUAAUUAUAUUGUAUAUUUUUUUAUUAUUUAAGGUAAUUAAAAGGAAUUCGGCAAAAUUUAUUAUUUGCCUGUUUAUUAAAAACAUCGUUUUUUGUUAAAAAUUUAAGAUUGGACCUGCCCAAUGAAAUUUAAAUGGCUGCAGUAUAUUGACUGUACAAAGGUAGCAUAAUAAUUAGUUUCUUAAUUAGAAGCUUGUAUGAAUGGUUUGACAAAAUAAUUACUGUCUCUUAAUUAAUUUAUAUUAAAAUUUUAUUUUUAAGUUAAAAAGCUUAAAUUUUAUUAAAAGACGAGAAGACCCUAUAGAGUUUUAUAAUUUUUAAAAUUUUUAUAUUUAUAGAAUUAUUAAUUUAUUUUUUAAAGAUUAAUUAAUUGGGGUGAUUUAAAAAUUUAUUUAACUUUUUAUAAUAUAACCAUUGAUUUAUGAAUUUUUGAUCCAUUUUUUUUUGAUUAAAAGAAAUAAUUACCUUAGGGAUAACAGCGUAAUUUUUUUAAGAGUUCUAAUUAAAAAAAAAGAUUGCGACCUCGAUGUUGGAUUAAAUAAAAAAUUUGGUGCAGAAGCUAAAUUAUUAAGUCUGUUCGACUUUUUAGAAUUUACAUGAUCUGAGUUUAGACCGGCGUGAGCCAGGUUAGUUUCUAUCUUUAAUAAGAUUUUUUAUUUUAGUACGAAAGGAUUAAAUAAAUUUAAUAUUUAUUAUUAUUUGAAUAUUAUUAUUACUUUGGCAGAAUAAUGUAUUAAAUUUAGAAUUUAAAAAUGUAUUUAUAUACAAGUAAU